Molecule: long non-coding RNA, 895 nt
Organism: Vitis riparia (riverbank grape)
Lineage: Eukaryota; Viridiplantae; Streptophyta; Magnoliopsida; Vitales; Vitaceae
Exons: 6
Source: RefSeq, a predicted model, not a curated record
UCUUUUGUGCCCAUUUGUGUCUCUCUCAGAAUCAAACCCGCUGUCUCCGCUGUUGAUUUCUUCAUUUGAAAUGAUGCUUCUCCUCGUUUAUGCCUCCACACUUUUCUGGGUCUCAGUCUCUGUUCAUUUUCUUCGUCCUCCAUCCCAUGGACUGGCUUUUCAUGGCCGUUCUUCAUAGCUCUAUGACUGAUCUUGGUUGCCACAACCAGAAGCCAUCGCUCCCAAAUAAAGGUGAAGAGUGAUAUCCCAUGACUCCAUGUGCAUGCCAUGAUGUUUUGAAUCCUAGGUCUCCUCUCCUUUUCCCCUCUAAAGGUUCGAAAUAAGGAUACAUCAAUCGGAAGCUAGGCUUGCUCACUAGUAAGAGAUCCUACAGUGUUUGAUCCUGACUGGUUAAAUAAAUAUUCUGUAGGUCUUUGAUGCCUAAACCAGAAAGCUCUUCUCCCAGCAAUUGCCUGCAUUUAUGACAGUCUAAAUGUGGCUUACUCCAAUCAAGAAUAGGUUAUGGCACAUUUGAUGUGGGCGUGAAUGCACUUGCAAGAAUGCAACUUGUCCAUAUGAGUUUUCUACAUAUAGAUAUGACAAAGAUACUGAAGUCUGUCUGCAUUGACAGCUGCAUUCAAGACUCUAUGCUAUCCCCUCUUUUUCUUUUUCCCAUUUUAUGGCCAAAAGAUGUGGAAAGUAUGGUGGACUAGUGGCUUCUGUUAGUGAUUUUUAUCAUUGUGGUGAAACAAAAGAACUAAAACAGUCCUACAAGAGCCUUUACUAGAUGGCAAAGGAAAUUCUUCAUGGAUAACUUACAUAUGCAAGUUUGAACAAAUUGAAAGGUUCCAAUAAACAAUCAAUGGCAAGACCUAAAUAUAUAGCAUCCUUUAUGUGAAAGUCUCAUCUUGGUCCC